Molecule: unclassified non-coding RNA, 517 nt
Filed under: Bombus terrestris (buff-tailed bumblebee)
Lineage: Eukaryota; Metazoa; Arthropoda; Insecta; Hymenoptera; Apidae
Description: misc RNA ENSBTSG00005033065.1
Source: RNAcentral
GCGGACCCGAGGAGUACAGAGAGGUACGGGGAGGAGUAUAUAAGCGCAGAUUCGACUUGGACUGAAAAAGUUAGUUAGAAAGUUAGAGUCAAGGAUUGGAGUUCCACUUUUGGAUGAGUUACACACGAAUUGUGGGCCAGUGAAAAAGCACAUUUGCUACCCCGUCGACCCGUAGAUUCGUUAUUGAGUCUAAGAUCAUUGCCAUUCGCAUUCCGGGUAUCUAAUUACCACGGUCACUUGUCAAAUUCUGUCAUAAUCAUAAUUGUAUUAGUAAAUAUCUUCGCUCUUGCGUGACAACAAUGUCUGAUUCAAAGAAAGAUUCGUUACACGCCCCUAACCCUAAUGACAACUCGACAUAUAUAUAUGUAGUAUCAAAAAAAGAAGAGGGUAUACGCUUGAGAGAGUGUAAGAGUGUAUGCCUUGGUGACGUCAAAGCUAAAUGAGUAAAGGACUGGGAGAAGGAUGCGAGGGUUGAGGGUCAACAUCUUUUUUGACCUGAGAAGACAGAAGUUGAGAG